AGUGAACGCUGGCGGUAGGCCUAACACAUGCAAGUCGAACGGCAGCACAGAGGAGCUUGCUCCUUGGGUGGCGAGUGGCGGACGGGUGAGGAAUACAUCGGAAUCUACUUUUUCGUGGGGGAUAACGUAGGGAAACUUACGCUAAUACCGCAUACGACCUACGGGUGAAAGCAGGGGAUCUUCGGACCUUGCGCGAUUGAAUGAGCCGAUGUCGGAUUGGCUAGUUGGCGGGGUAAAGGCCCCCCAAGGCGACGAUCCGUAGCUGGUCUGAGAGGAUGAUCAGCCACACUGGAACUGAGACACGGUCCAGACUCCUACGGGAGGCAGCAGUGGGGAAUAUUGGACAAUGGGCGCAAGCCUGAUCCAGCCAUACCGCGUGGGUGAAGAAGGCCUUCGGGUUGUAAAGCCCUUUUGUUGGGAAAGAAAUCCAGCCGGCUAAUACCUGGUUGGGAUGACGGUACCCAAAGAAUAAGCACCGGCUAACUUCGUGCCAGCAGCCGCCGUAA
Molecule: ribosomal RNA, 506 nt
Filed under: uncultured bacterium
Lineage: Bacteria
Description: partial 16S ribosomal RNA
Rfam family: Bacterial small subunit ribosomal RNA
Source: RNAcentral